AACGAACGCUGGCGGCAGGCUUAACACAUACAAGUCGAACGAGAUCUUCGGAUCUAGUGGCCGACGGGGGAGGAACACGUGGGAACAUCCCCUUCCGUUCGGAAUAACGUUAGGAAACUAACCCUAAGACCGGAUACGUCCUUCGGGAGUCAGAUUUAUCGCUGAAAGAUUGGCCCGCGUCUGAUUAGCUCGUUGGUGGGGUAAUGGCUCACCAAGGCUACGAUCAGUAGCUGAUCUGAGAGGAUGAUCAGCCACAUUGGGACUGAGAGACGGCCCAGACCGCGACGGGAGGCAGCAGUGGGGAAUGUUGGACAAUGGGCGCAAGCCUGAUCCAGCCAUGCCGGGUGAGUGAUGACGGCCUUCGGGUUGUAAAGCUCUUUUGUCCGGGAAGAUAAUGACAGUACCGGAAGAAUAAGCCCCGGCAAACUUCGUGCCAGCCGCCGCCGUAA
RNAcentral lists this ribosomal RNA (449 nucleotides) under uncultured bacterium. RNAcentral describes it as "partial 16S ribosomal RNA". It matches the Rfam family "Bacterial small subunit ribosomal RNA", at positions 29 to 523 of the family's 1533-position model. The record is from RNAcentral.